CAGUCGCCGCGGGAAUACGAGGGGUGCAAGCGUUAUUCGGAUUGAUUGGGUGUAAAGGGUGUGCAGACGGCUUAUUAAGUCUGAUGUGAAAGCCCCCGGCUCAACCGGGGAGGGUCAUUGGAAACUGGGAAACUUGAGUGCAGAAGAGGAGAGUGGAAUUCCACGUGUAGCGGUGAAAUGCGUAGAGAUGUGGAGGAACACCAGUGGCGAAGGCGACUCUCUGGUCUGUAACUGACGCUGAGGAGCGAAAGCGUGGGGAGCGAACGGGAUUAGAUACCCGUGUAGUCCCUGUCUCUUAUAA
This 301-nucleotide ribosomal RNA is filed under the name uncultured bacterium. RNAcentral describes it as "partial 16S ribosomal RNA". It matches the Rfam family "Bacterial small subunit ribosomal RNA", at positions 509 to 809 of the family's 1533-position model. The record is from RNAcentral.